RNAcentral lists this ribosomal RNA (450 nucleotides) under uncultured bacterium. Its description in RNAcentral is "partial 16S ribosomal RNA". It matches the Rfam family "Bacterial small subunit ribosomal RNA", at positions 354 to 796 of the family's 1533-position model. The record is from RNAcentral.
GUGGGGAAUUUUGGACAAUGGGCGCAAGCCUGAUCCAGCAAUGCCGCGUGCAGGAAGACGGCCUUCGGGUUGUAAACUGCUUUUGUACGGAACGAAACGGUCCGGGUUAAUACCCUGGGCUAAUGACGGUACCGUAAGAAUAAGCACCGGCUAACUACGUGCCAGCAGCCGCGGUAAUACGUAGGGUGCAAGCGUUAAUCGGAAUUACUGGGCGUAAAGCGUGCGCAGGCGGUUUUGUAAGACAGGCGUGAAAUCCCCGGGCUCAACCUGGGAAUUGCGCUUGGGACUGCAAGGCUGGAGUGCGGCAGAGGGGGAUGGAAUUCCGCGUGUAGCAGUGAAAUGCGUAGAUAUGCGGAGGAACACCGAUGGCGAAGGCAAUCCCCUGGGCCUGCACUGACGCUCAUGCACGAAAGCGUGGGGAGCAAACAGGAUUAGAAACCCUGGUAGUCC